RNAcentral lists this long non-coding RNA (251 nucleotides) under Cyanistes caeruleus (blue tit). RNAcentral's name for it is "lncRNA (ENSCCEG00000022823.1)". Lineage: Eukaryota; Metazoa; Chordata; Aves; Passeriformes; Paridae. The record is from RNAcentral.
GUACAAUUCCACUCAUAUUAAUCUCUUUAAUCCUACUUUUGCUAUCUCUAAUUUUAGAUUUUUCAGUCCUUUUUACCCUCAACACCCUUGGCAUUGAAUGAAGUUCUUCCAGGCUUUAGGGAAGACUAUUGUCAGCUGAAAGACUUCUCUGAAUUGCCAGGUGUCCUUCCUUAGGACAGUUCCAGACAGGAUUCUGGACAGAACAGGACCCAGAAUGAACCAAUGAACCAACACUUACUUUCGUUUGGAUU